Long non-coding RNA from Lolium rigidum, 519 nucleotides. RefSeq lists it as uncharacterized. The record is from RefSeq and is a predicted model, not a curated record. Lineage: Eukaryota; Viridiplantae; Streptophyta; Magnoliopsida; Poales; Poaceae. The transcript has 2 exons.
AAUCAAAUUAAUUAUUGUGUGAUUGAGGGGAGUGGGGAAAUUUAUAUCACGGGAUCUCUUUUUUCUCUCUCAAUCUCUCUAUAAAUAGCUCAGUCAUUUGUUUGUAUUUUCCCGCAGAUUUAUCACAUCGACAAAGCAUCAAGUUAGUGCCUAUUGGUGUAUCAGAGGAUGGACAAUUAUACUAGUCGCAUCCUUGUACUAACUCUGAUGUCUAUGCAUCUCGUAUGCUCUGCUACUCUUGCACAAGGCCGUAUCAUCAUAGCUAACAUGGAUAACCAAAAGAUCAAUCUUCCAGGUGGGCUGUGCAGACAUUAUGUUCACGAGUGCAAGGACGGACUUUGCGAUUGUUGUCUUGUAAAUAAUCUUUGCUACCUGUCUGUGGACAUCUGCAACAAAAAUUGUGUCUCUACUUCAGACAUGGUGGCGACAACGAUCCCUCAUUCUUUACCUACUCCUUUCCCUGUCUAGUCAAAUUGGCAUAACGCCUGAUGUGCGGAAUAAGCAAGAAUAAUUCUCUUU